This 27-nucleotide non-coding RNA is filed under the name Rattus norvegicus (Norway rat). The record is from RNAcentral. Lineage: Eukaryota; Metazoa; Chordata; Mammalia; Rodentia; Muridae.
UUAACUGAUAAAUUUGCCGGCGAAGAA